GCCGAAGUGGCGGAACCGGCAGACGCGUCGGAUUCAAAAUCCGAUUCCCGCAAGGGAGUGAGGGUUCGAGUCCCUCCUUCGGCA
Molecule: transfer RNA, 84 nt
Filed under: Phycisphaerales bacterium
Lineage: Bacteria; Pseudomonadati; Planctomycetota; Phycisphaerae; Phycisphaerales
Description: tRNA-Leu
Rfam family: tRNA
About the family: Transfer RNA (tRNA) molecules are approximately 80 nucleotides in length. Their secondary structure includes four short double-helical elements and three loops (D, anti-codon, and T loops). Further hydrogen bonds mediate the characteristic L-shaped molecular structure. tRNAs have two regions of fundamental functional importance: the anti-codon, which is responsible for specific mRNA codon recognition, and the 3' end, to which the tRNAs corresponding amino acid is attached (by aminoacyl-tRNA synthetases). tRNAs cope with the degeneracy of the genetic code in two manners: having more than one tRNA (with a specific anti-codon) for a particular amino acid; and 'wobble' base-pairing, i.e. permitting non-standard base-pairing at the 3rd anti-codon position.
Source: RNAcentral